AACGAACGCUGGCGGCAUGCCUAACACAUGCAAGUCGAACGAGACCUUCGGGUCUAGUGGCGCACGGGUGCGUAACGCGUGGGAACCUGCCCUUAGGUUCGGAAUAACUCCCCGAAAGGGGUGCUAAUACCGGAUAAUGUCUUCGGACCAAAGAUUUAUCGCCUUUGGAUGGGCCCGCGUUGGAUUAGCUAGUUGGUAGGGUAAAAGCCUACCAAGGCGACGAUCCAUAGCUGGUCUGAGAGGAUGAUCAGCCACACUGGGACUGAGACACGGCCCAGACUCCCACGGGAGGGAGCAGGGGGGAAGUUGGGAAAAGGGGCGAAACCCUGACCCAGCAAGGCCGGGGGAGUGAUGAAGGCUUUAGGGUUGUAAAGCUCUUUUACCCGGGAUGAUAAUGACAGUACCGGGAGAAAAAGCCCCGGCUAACUCCGG
Molecule: ribosomal RNA, 432 nt
Filed under: uncultured bacterium
Lineage: Bacteria
Description: partial 16S ribosomal RNA
Rfam family: Bacterial small subunit ribosomal RNA
Source: RNAcentral